UUUCGAGAGCAACGGCCAUGAAACGGAUAUACUAAAUAUGGAUGUGGUGUGGCAAAUUUAGGAGAAAACGUCAAAACCGACAGCAUGAUAAGUCUAACAGCGAAUACCAUUCGAUUGCAAUCAUUCCUAUGCCUAGUUUUGCACAUAAAUAUUGUUUUCUAUCAUAUCAGCGCAACGCCUCAGAGCAGUUUGAAUGAAUUCAUGGGUACGGAACGUCCAUAUUUCGAUGAUGUUAACCCUAGAAAUAUAUCGACAGUAGCUGAUGAACCGGCGAUAUUAAGAUGUCGCGUCAAGAAUAAAGGCAACCGUACGGUUUCAUGGAUGCGCAAACGAGAUCUUCACAUACUAACAACUAACAUCUACACCUAUACUGGCGAUCAGCGAUUCUCUGUUGUACAUCCGCCCGGCAGCGAUGAUUGGGACUUGAAGAUCGAAUAUGCGCAGCAGAGAGAUAGCGGAAUUUACGAAUGCCAAGUAAAUACCGAGCCGAAAAUUAAUUUAGCCGUAUCACUGGUUGUCAAUGCUGAGGCCGAUAUUAGAGAUAAAAUUACUGAAGCCCAAUACUACGAUGCGAAAGCUGCGCGUGCGAAAAUUCUCGGCUCGACAGAGAUUCACGUGAAGCGGGAUAGUACAAUAGCACUGGCCUGUUCGGUGAACAUUCAUGCUUCUUCCGUUUCGUGGUAUCACGGCUCAUCGGUUGUCGACUUUGAUUCCCAGCGCGGUGGAAUCAGUCUAGAAACGGAGAAAACGGAUGUGGGUACCACUAGUCGUUUAAUGCUAACACGCGCUUCAUUGCGUGACUCUGGAAAUUACACCUGCGCACCAAUUGGCGCGGUACCAGCGUCAGUACGAGUACAUGUCCUCACUGGUGAACAACCUGCGGCUAUGCAAACUGGUACAGCAGAUAGCGUCUUCAUAGAAAGUCCUGCAUAUUUAAUAAUUGCUGCUGUAUUUAUUGCUGCUUGGAACCAAUACUUAAUCAUAUCACAGACGACUUCCAGCUACGCCAACUGUAACUUGUAUCAACGAAGGUGACUACAUACUCAAUGACUAACUAUUUUUCAUUAGUUGAAAGCAACUGAAACUAACAGCCAAUGCAGGCAGCAACAUAAAUUUGGAGACCUAAAUUUCCACUUAUGUAAAAAACGAUGCAACUAUGCGAAGCUGGCUGGGUAUUCUUUAUAUACAGAACGCAAUACCACACUGAUCAAAGACAUUUGUAAGACAAACAAUAAUACUAUUUAUUAUUAUAAUAAAACUUAUCACGAUGAUAUAAAUUGCAAGAUAACACCGUGCGAUAAAAACAAAACAAUUUUAAAAC
Rhagoletis zephyria (snowberry fruit fly) is the source of this 1321-nucleotide RNA transcript. It is a transcript of the gene named defective proboscis extension response 7, with no coding region annotated. Lineage: Eukaryota; Metazoa; Arthropoda; Insecta; Diptera; Tephritidae. The record is from RefSeq and is a predicted model, not a curated record.